Tigriopus californicus is the source of this 2143-nucleotide long non-coding RNA. RefSeq lists it as uncharacterized. Lineage: Eukaryota; Metazoa; Arthropoda; Copepoda; Harpacticoida; Harpacticidae. The record is from RefSeq and is a predicted model, not a curated record. The transcript is spliced from 3 exons.
UGAAAUGUCAAAACACCUAGUAUCGAAUAGGUCAAAUUAAUGGAAAAAUUCGUGUGUCUCUCUCUCUUGUAUAGUACUCUAUUGGUUUGUGUCGAUGAACAAUUGCUGAGUUGGAGAGAUCUGUCCAUAUGUUUAAAGGUUGAGUUGGCAACCCGGACCAGCUAAGAGAUGUGAUUGAAGUGAAUCGAAUUGACAAUGGUAUUUUUUUGCUUGGACAAUGAGAAUCGGGUUGAGGGUGAGAUGAGGAGGAGGACUCUUUCCUGGUUUUAAAUUGCUCAACAACACUGUUCUAGCUCUUCUUUCCAUCCAGCUCAGAACUGGGAUUAGAAGCUCCAUUUUGUUUCAACGCUGAUUGCAAGCUUUAUAAACUACAGUUAUGCAUCGCUGAUCUGUAGAUUUGUCCAAAUGGAGAGAAUAAGUGGCCCAAGCAAAAUCAUUGUUGGCGACGGGUAACUCGUCUCCGCGGAGAUCGAGAAAAACAGUUGAGAAUUGAACACCUGUGGUUCUUCGUAGGUAGCGCCAAAAUGGAUGAUGAUGACCUGGACUGACAGGGGGACGAGAAAAACACAUUCGACUUGGAGAUCUCCGAUCAAUAAAGGAAUAAACCGUAAAAUCCCUCUCAUUCUCUCACACAACACAAGAGAGGACUUGACAAAUAAGAUUCAUAGGGACGGAGGAUGGCUCGGCAGCUUUUGGAGGAAAGGGGAGUGAUAUAAUUGCGGGUCCUGGUCUGAACAUCGCACUUUUUUACCUCAGGAAAUACCAAUCUGAUGUCACCUUAAACGGCUACGAAUUUGCAUUUCAAAAUGUGUGUCGAAUCUCUCCUGGCGAUAAUUAAUCAAAAUGUAAACCCUGACGUAUUGAUCGCCAUCUCGUAAGACAUGUCAAUACCAUCUGAAUAUAUACGAAGGAUGGAUCUUGAAUCCUGAUGAUGUUUAUGAGGGUGGGCACUGGCCAGUGGGUGGUGAUCAUCUUCCCCCAACAGCCAUUAUGGUCCUGGGGAUUCAAAGAGAUAAUUACAGUCAUCAAAAGGCAUCUCGAGAACCUCAACCCAUUAUAAAUAUAUGUUUAUCUAAUCACGAACAAUGCUCAGUGAGCAAAACUCCAACCAACCUCCCAAUCACCACCUAUUGACCAAUGGCACCAACCGACCUAUUACUCGGCCAAAGUGAAGGAGUCCAUGAGGGAGGAAUAACAGAAUAUGUGAGAUAUUGUUUAGUGGCCGCCAGAGAGAUAAUGAAUUCUGGGCUUAUCAAGUCCUCCAAUCUUUCACAGUCCAUACCACCCGUUGUCCCAUGGUUCUCCUGGGACGAAGAAGACCUUGAGCAGAGCAGCAUUGCCAAUAUUUAGUUGUGUUUUCGCCUCGCACCUCGCUUACUCUCUUACGCUCCAAGGGGAGGCUCAUCUGCCAUUUGCGAGACCUUCAGGUACCUGAGGUACCCCUCCAAAGCUUCAGGGUGGACUAAGAGCAAUGGAUGAAUUCAAUCCGACCGCCAUAAAGUCACAAAUAUUUGUUAAAAGCUCUUGGCACCACAAGAUAUUUGUCCGGGUCAUUAUGGCUGCCAAGGAGGCCAAGGAGGCUGGCCAAGGCGGAGGAACACUACUUGAAAGCCUGGAUCGGUAUCUUGAUCUUGAUUAAGGAAUAAUCAUAGCGAGCGGCAUGAACUCAAUUACCAUAAAUGACGAAAAACAAGUCUUGAAUAUUCCAGUCUCUUCCCUGAAACAGGAGAUCUUCUUUGGGUGGAAAGCUCGAGUGAUACUCAUCAGGGUCAGAUUUGUUUCUCCUUGGUCGUAACAGACCAAAUAGUUGAGAUCAACCAUCAGUGUCAAAAUUGUCAACACGUUCGUGGUAUCGAAUCGGGAAAUCAUGAAUGGUGGUGCUAUUCUUGUUGGGAUGAUUCGGAUCAUCCGGCGGUGCAUCUCGAGAUCCUCGGAUUCCUUGGCCCGCCUAUCUGGGUAUUGUCAUCAAACAAAUAGGCUUAAACCAUUCAGUGAAGCUUUUCACUUUACUUCAAUCCGGGAGAAUCACCGCAGUCUGGGCGAGAGAUGAAGAAUGGCAAAUACUUAAUCCGGGAAUUGGUCAAUUAUGAGGAGAGCGAAACGCUCCAAGGAUUUAAAUGAGCCGGGGACAAACUUGUUAUUG